GAUGAACGCUGGCGGCGUGCCUAAUACAUGCAAGUCGAGCGAACGGACGAGAAGCUUGCUUUUCUGAUGUUAGCGGCGGACGGGUGAGUAACACGUGGAUAACCUACCUAUAAGACUGGGAUAACUUCGGGAAACCGGAGCUAAUAUCGGAUAAUAUUUUGAACCGCAUGGUUCAAAAGUGAAAGACGGUCUUGCUGUCACUUAUAGAUGGAUCCGCGCUGCAUUAGCUAGUUGGUAAGGUAACGGCUUACCAAGGCAACGAUGCAUAGCCGACCUGAGAGGGUGAUCGGCCACACUGGAACUGAGACACGGUCCAGACUCCUACGGGAGGCAGCAGUAGGGAAUCUUCCGCAAUGGGCGAAAGCCUGACGGAGCAACGCCGCGUGAGUGAUGAAGGUCUUCGGAUCGUAAAACUCUGUUAUUAGGGAAGAACAUAUGUGUAAGUAACUGUGCACAUCUUGACGGUACCUAAUCAGGAAGCCACGGCUAACUACGUG
This 497-nucleotide ribosomal RNA is filed under the name uncultured bacterium. Its description in RNAcentral is "partial 16S ribosomal RNA". It matches the Rfam family "Bacterial small subunit ribosomal RNA", at positions 28 to 507 of the family's 1533-position model. The record is from RNAcentral.